Molecule: long non-coding RNA, 3683 nt
Organism: Globicephala melas (long-finned pilot whale)
Lineage: Eukaryota; Metazoa; Chordata; Mammalia; Artiodactyla; Delphinidae
Source: RefSeq, a predicted model, not a curated record
AGGUCCGCGAGCUGUGUGGACUUGUGCCUUGGCGCUUGUGGUUCGGGGCCUUGUGCUGGCACCGAGUGCGCCGGGUUGGCGACUUCAGCACUCUUGGCGUUGGGUGGGCGGCAUCUUGGGGGUCACGUGAGCCAGUGGCAUCAUGCCCGUGGGCGCUGGUGUCAGCGUCGUGGCUUUUCCGGAGGUUCGUCGGCCAGGAGGAAGGGCGGAAAGCACAUCCCGGAAAGGUGGAAAGACUAUCUCCCAGUUGGACAGCGGAUGCCUGGGACUCGUUUCACUGCAUUCAAAGUUCCUUUAAAAAAGAGUUUUGAAAAGAAUCUUGCUCCAGAAGAAUGUUUUUUCCCCCCUUAACAAACUCCAAGAACACAAUGAAGAACUUGGGCUGAUUAUUGACUUAACAUAUACUCGCCGCUAUUUUAAGCCAGAGGCAUACCAGUUGUCAACAAUGCCUGAAAUUUGCUCUAUUUCCUAAUUCGAAUCCAAGUUCUUCUGACUCUAUUCUACUAUUCUACUUAAAUCACAGCUGCUUUAUGGCCCUUGAAAUGUAAGAUAGAACAUAAAUGACUUACCAGAAACUAUUCCUUAUUUAGAAAUUUGUACAAUUGGGUAUCAGGUGCCAGAUGACGACACUAGUUUUAAAUUCCAGUGUGCUGUUAAUGGGUUUCUGAAAGAAAAUAAAGAUAAUGUACGCGGGCCUCUCACUGUUGUGGCCUGUCCCGUUGUGGAGCACAGGCUCCGGACAUGCAGGCUCUGCGGCCGUGGCUUACGGGCCCGCCGCUCCGUGGCAUGUGGGAUCCUCCUGUACCGGGGCACGAACCCGUGUCCCCUGCAUCGGCAGGCGGACUCUCAACCACUGCGCCACCAGUGAAGCCCACAGACUUAUUGGUGUCCACUGUACCCAUAAUUUAAACAGGACUGGCUGCCAUAUCUGCAGAUAUUUGAUUGAUGUAGAAGGUAUGUGGCCAGAUGAUGCAAUUGGAUACUGGUGUUUUAUCUUUACAAGUUCUCCAUCAUUCCAUAAGAAAGCUGCUCUUCUGGUUUCAUAAGAGAUGGUGAACAGUGGGGAUGCAGGUUCGAUCCCUGGUUGAGGAACUGAGAUCCCCCAUGCCGCAGACAAACUAAGCCCGCACACUGCAACUACUGAGCCCACGUGCUGUGGAGCCCACGCGCCACAACUAGAGAGCCCACGAGCUGCAAGGAAGAGCCCACGCACUGUAACGAAGAGCCCACAUGCUGUGACUAAUACCCGACACCUCCAAAAGUAAAUAAUUUAAAUAAAAUCAUAUGAGUGAAUGAACAUAAUACCUUAAGAGAAACAAACAGGAAAAGGAAAAAUUAUUUUUGAAGAUAAAAAGAAUUUUAGAGAAAUGGAAAACAUAAAAGAUAGGCAAAAAAGAGUCAGGACAGCUCUGAAAAGAGUAAUAUAAAUAUGUAUAAGAAUCUAUUAUAGGGCUUUCCUGGUGGCGCAGUGGUUGAGAGUCUGCCUGCCGAUGCAGAGGACACGGGUUCAUGCCCCGGUACGGGAAGAUCUCACAUGCCGUGGAGCGGCUGGGCCCGUGAGCCAUGGCCGCUGAGCCUGCGCGUCCGGAGCCUGUGCUCCACAACGGGAGAGGUCACAACAGUGAGAGGCCCGCGUACCGCAAAAAAAAAAAAAAAAAAGAAUCUAUUAUACCAUAAAAGUGACAUUUCAAAUCAGUGGGACAGAUUAGUCAAUAAAUUGUGAUACAUACAUGUUGAGGUAUAAAUUGUUCUCUGGAAGGAUCCACAGCAUGGCAAAAGCAGAUGUCUCUGAGGAGGGAAAUGUGUGGCUGGGGAACGUGGGGAAAAGGGUGACUUUUCAUUGAAUACCCUUGUGUACCUUUUCUAAUGUUCUGUCAUGUGAAUUUAUUACCUCUGAAGUUCGCCUGAGUUCAAACCCCAGUUCCCCAAAUUACUAGCUCUUGAUCUUGGGCAAACUCUUCACACUCUCCAGGCCUCUUCAUCUGUGAAAUAAGGUCAGUAACUUAGCCUGGUGCUGCCUGGCACAGAAUAAACUGUCAAUAAAUGGAGAUUAUUAGUGUAAAAAAACCAAAUGCCCAUCAAUGGAUGAAUGGAUUUUUUAAAUGUGGUGUAUAUGUGAAAUAUUAUACAGUCAUAAAAAGGAAUGAAGUACUGACACAUUCUACGACAUGGACGAACUUGAAAACAUUAUGCUAAGUGAAAGAAGCCACACACGGUGGUCACAUUUGUAUUAUUUCAUGAAAUGUCCAGAAAAGGCAAAACUAUAGUGACAGAAAGGAAAUUAAUGGUUGCAGGGACUGAAGGAAGAGGGGAUGAAGAGGGCCUGCUGAUGGUUACGUGGGGUUCUUUGUGGGGUGAUGAAAACGUGAUGGGUUAGAUGACGGUGAUGGUUGCAUAGGCUUGUGAAUGUACGAAAUGACACUGAAUUUGCAGUUUCAGAAGGUGAAUGUUAUGGCAUGUGAAUAACAUCUCAAAAAAUUAAUUUUGAAAAUGAAAAUUGCCAGUUUUCCCAUGGUCACUAUCCACUAUCCACUGUCUCCAUCUCUCCCUUCUCCCCACUAUAUUCCUUUUGACGCCCACCCCUGCCACUCUCUCCCAUCCUCACUCCCUCGACCUGCCCCACAAGGCCUCCCAGGGAACCCGUGAACCGCUGGGCACCUGGGUCCUGUGGCUGUUGGAGCGACUGCCCAGUGUGCGUGCCUCCACCGCUUUCACCCGUGAGAGUGGACGCUUCCGUCAGAUUUUUCUUGUGCGUUUCAGUUGAUGGUGAUGUUUACAGAAGGCGGCACACGCCCUGGUCAAUGGAGGAAGCCCCUCAAGAUAAUAUUUAGGCCCAUCCAGAAGUUUGAUCUCGUCCACCAGUAACCUCAGGAUGCUGUGCUCUGAAAGCCAGGUUGGCCGCCUGCAGGCACUUGUAAAUACUGAGGACUUCGGAGGCAUUUGGGCCUCCAGUUGAGGCCUUGUACCUCCACAUGCGACGUGACCUCAGCCCUUUGCUGCACCUCUCUAAGUGAAGUGGCACAGGAAUACUGGCCUUGCCUGUCGUUGCCAGGAUUAACUGAAUAGUGCAUUAGCUGCCCUGGUGCUUAGGUGUUGAGUACAGGGUGAUGUACAUACCAGGCCCUAUUCGUGGGCCUCCUGAUGCAGCAGUUCCCUUGGUUCUGCCCCUGUUGUCAGCUACCCCUAGGAUAACUCUGAGCCCUAGCCACCUCUCUCGUAGAUUUCCCUAUCCCCCCACUAUAAUCACACCUGAAUAAGGCAACUCAAACCUUUCAGAGAUGUGUCCUGAACCUCCUGUUUUCUUAAAUACCUAUCUGGUGGUUGUGAGACUUAAGGCCAGCCUCCCCAAGAGACCUUUUCUAUUUCUCCUAGUAAACCUAGAGUCACCUUCUGUCAUCUUCAACUCUACUCAGAUUUGGUUCUUUCAACCCUGACCUCUGACCCUGCUUUUUACUUCUGCCAUUUCAUCCUCACUCCUGCUUCCUUUCAUAAAUCCAUAAAUGUCUUUUGGCCUUCCUAGCCCUGGGCCAAGUUCCUUUUUCUUUCCUCAGUUUUUACCCCUUUCCUUCAUUGUCCCAUCCAACUUUCAGUCCUUCCUUUCUCAUGCAGACUUUGAUUCCAACCCCAUCAAAAAAAAAAAAAAAAAAAAACACACACCACAGUUAGCAGCAUCUCAAAAUUCA